GCUGGGCUUGGUGGCGCAUGCCUGUAAUCCCAGCUACUUGGGAGGCUGAGGCAGAAGAAUCUCUUGAACCCGGGAGGUGGAGGUUGCAGUGAGCCGAGAUCACGCCACUGCACUCUAGCCUGGGUGACAGAGUGAAACUCUGUCUCAA
RNAcentral lists this non-coding RNA (148 nucleotides) under Nomascus leucogenys (northern white-cheeked gibbon). Lineage: Eukaryota; Metazoa; Chordata; Mammalia; Primates; Hylobatidae. The record is from Rfam by way of RNAcentral.